CCGAAGUGGCGGAAUUUGGCAGACGCGCUACGUUCAGGGCGUAGUGAGCUUACGCUCGUGAGGGUUCAAAUCCCUCCUUCGGCACUCCA
RNAcentral lists this transfer RNA (89 nucleotides) under Chloroflexota bacterium. Its description in RNAcentral is "Chloroflexi bacterium (sediment metagenome) tRNA-Leu". It matches the Rfam family "tRNA". From Rfam's summary of the family: Transfer RNA (tRNA) molecules are approximately 80 nucleotides in length. The record is from RNAcentral. Lineage: Bacteria; Bacillati; Chloroflexota.